RNAcentral lists this ribosomal RNA (204 nucleotides) under uncultured bacterium. Its description in RNAcentral is "partial 16S ribosomal RNA". It matches the Rfam family "Bacterial small subunit ribosomal RNA", at positions 573 to 776 of the family's 1533-position model. The record is from RNAcentral.
AGGCGGUGACUUAAGUGAGGUGUGAAAGCCCCGGGCUUAACCUGGGAAUUGCAUUUCAUACUGGGUCGCUAGAGUACUUUAGGGAGGGGUAGAAUUCCACGUGUAGCGGUGAGAUGCGUAGAGAUGUGGAGGAAUACCGAAGGCGAAGGCAGCCCCUUGGGAAUGUACUGACGCUCAUGUGCGAAAGCGUGGGGAGCAAACAAG